CCUACGGGAGGCAGCAGUGGGGAAUAUUGCACAAUGGGGGAAACCCUGAUGCAGCGACGCCGCGUGAGUGAAGAAGUAUUUCGGUACGUAAAGCUCUAUCAGCAGGGAAGAAAAUGACGGUACCUGACUAAGAAGCCCCGGCUAACUACGUGCCAGCAGCCGCGGUAAUACGUAGGGGGCAAGCGUUAUCCGGAUUUACUGGGUGUAAAGGGAGCGUAGACGGCAGCGCAAGUCUGGAGUGAAAUCCCAUGGCUUAACCAUGGAACUGCUUUGGAAACUGUGCAGCUAGAGUGCAGGAGAGGUAAGCGGAAUUUCUAGUGUAGCGGUGAAAUGCGUAGAUAUUAGGCGGAACACCAGUGGCGAAGGCAGCUUACUGGACUGUAACUGACGUUGAGGCUCGAAAGCGUGGGGAGCAAACAGGAUUAGAUACCCGGGUAGUC
This 440-nucleotide ribosomal RNA is filed under the name uncultured bacterium. RNAcentral's name for it is "partial 16S ribosomal RNA". It matches the Rfam family "Bacterial small subunit ribosomal RNA", at positions 338 to 795 of the family's 1533-position model. The record is from RNAcentral.